UACGGAGGAUGCAAGCGUUAUCCGGAUUUAUUGUGUUUAAAGGGUGCGCAGGUUGUUUGAUAAGUCAGUGGUGAAAGUCUGUCGCUUAACGGUAGGAUUGCCAUUGAUACUGUUGGACUUGAAUAUGGAUGAGGUAGGCGGAAUGUGUAGUGUAGCGGUGAAAUGCAUAGAUAUUACACAGAACACCGAUUGCGAAGGCAGCUUACUAAUCCAUCAUUGACGCUGAGGCACGAAAGCGUGGGGAUCAAA
This 249-nucleotide ribosomal RNA is filed under the name uncultured prokaryote. Its description in RNAcentral is "partial 16S ribosomal RNA". It matches the Rfam family "Bacterial small subunit ribosomal RNA", at positions 524 to 772 of the family's 1533-position model. The record is from RNAcentral.